Ixodes scapularis (black-legged tick) is the source of this 1163-nucleotide long non-coding RNA. RefSeq lists it as uncharacterized. The transcript has 4 exons. NCBI's taxonomy places the organism in Eukaryota, Metazoa, Arthropoda, Arachnida, Ixodida, Ixodidae. The record is from RefSeq and is a predicted model, not a curated record.
GCAUUUGGAAAUUGUUUUUUGACUUCACAAAUACUGAAUUCCCAAAUUUCGAAUUUUGAGGAUAAUGUUCCCGCAUUGUUUCCAAUCGUUUCGGAUAAUAAAAAAAAAUAUUUUGAUGUGUCAGUGCCCCUUUAGAGGGAUACUGAACCGAUAUCUGAAGUUUUCAAUAUAAGCCCCGGACGAGGUGCCCCGGACGUUACUAUACCUAAAAAUCAAGACCAUACCAAGGGAUCGGACUAUUAUAUUUCUUUGAUUGAAAAGCCGCGAUGGGGCAAUCCGUCGGCCGAAAGCCGCCGGUACGAUUGACGCCACCGCGGAGGAGCCCGAGCGGAACUGACGUCACAGACCUCUCGCUCCUUGGCAGCCUGGCUUGUCCCGCUGCAGUCCUAAUGGAGAACCGCGUCGAGUGAUCGAGGGAUCGAAGAAACUCGAUCCAUUCGGAUCGAGUUUCUUCGAUAGUUAUGCCGCGGUACUGCGCUGCACGAGACUGCUCAAACAGCGUAUGUUGCAGCAGCAGGCCUGCGCACAAGUUUCCGAGUGAGCCCACAUUGCGCAAGCUGUGGAUUCGCGCGGCCCGUCCUUCCCAGCCAACAUGGAAGCCCACCAAAGGCGAUUGUCUUUGCAUGGAACACUUCGAAGACGAGGACUACAAGACGAGCCCAAAGUUACGCAGAGUCUGGGCUUGCCUGUAAAACAGGCCUAUUUGAAGCCUGGCAUGGUGCCAUCGCUCUUCACACGAAAAUGCAAGCGAGAGCGGCACAGCGGUGCUGUGGAAAAACGGCGACGCAAAGAGCUGGUAUGUUCCGAGCUUGAGCAGGAUGUGCAAACUCCGCGGCAUCUUGAGCAUGUGCUAUUCCUCAUUGUGGCGAAUAAGGAGAUGCUGCUGAAUUUCGGAAUAGGAUACCCACAGUAUGAGUGCCACGCCAUUUAGAAAAGUAUAAUUGACGAAUUAAUGAAGGCACCGGCACAAGCAACGGCCACACUCAUCGCUGAAGAGGUCAGCACAUCGUCAACCCCUUCUGCUGACGACACAGAGCAAGGUCCUGACUCUGGACAUGAACCAAUGCACGAUGCAAGUGCUGGCAUCGAAAAACCUUUUUCGAGCUCAGCCCCCUCCAUCAGUAAUGCCAAACAGGCUCCUGACCUUCGGACCGCUGCUACGC